This 634-nucleotide ribosomal RNA is filed under the name Salmonella enterica. Its description in RNAcentral is "partial 23S ribosomal RNA". It matches the Rfam family "Bacterial large subunit ribosomal RNA", at positions 1 to 668 of the family's 2925-position model. Lineage: Bacteria; Pseudomonadati; Pseudomonadota; Gammaproteobacteria; Enterobacterales; Enterobacteriaceae. The record is from RNAcentral.
GGGUUGUGAGGUUAAGCGACUAAGCGUACACGGUGGAUGCCCUGGCAGUCAGAGGCGAUGAAGGGCGUGCUAAUCUGCGAUAAGCGCCGGUAAGGUGAUAUGAACCGUUAUAACCGGCGAUACCCGAAUGGGGAAACCCAGUGUGACUCGUCACACUAUCAUUAACUGAAUCCAUAGGUUAAUGAGGCGAACCGGGGGAACUGAAACAUCUAAGUACCCCGAGGAAAAGAAAUCAACCGAGAUUCCCCCAGUAGCGGCGAGCGAACGGGGAGGAGCCCAGAGCCUGAAUCAGCAUGUGUGUUAGUGGAAGCGUCUGGAAAGGCGCGCGAUACAGGGUGACAGCCCCGUACACAAAAGCGCAUGUGUUGUGAGCUCGAUGAGUAGGGCGGGACACGUGGUAUCCUGUCUGAAUAUGGGGGGACCAUCCUCCAAGGCUAAAUACUCCUGACUGACCGAUAGUGAACCAGUACCGUGAGGGAAAGGCGAAAAGAACCCCGGCGAGGGGAGUGAAAAAGAACCUGAAACCGUGUACGUACAAGCAGUGGGAGCACCCUUUGGGGUGUGACUGCGUACCUUUUGUAUAAUGGGUCAGCGACUUAUAUUCUGUAGCAAGGUUAACCGUAUAGGGGAGCCG